This 378-nucleotide unclassified non-coding RNA is filed under the name Hevea brasiliensis (rubber tree). The record is from RNAcentral. Lineage: Eukaryota; Viridiplantae; Streptophyta; Magnoliopsida; Malpighiales; Euphorbiaceae.
GACCACGAAAAGGAACUGGGAGGAGUCCCUCUGGAAUGAGCAGCUCUGAGUUAAGAAAAUCAGAACAAUAUUUUUUUUGGGCAAUUCUAAUAUGCACUCUCACUCGAAGAAAUGUCGCUUUGAUACAGAGGUGAUGUUCUUGGAUUUUUAAAUGUCAAGACUUUGUUACAAGGUUCCUUCCCUUGGUCUAGCCUUAGUGAGAACACCUCUAUCUGAAAUAUUGAUCUUCCAGGUUGAUGGAAUGAAGGAACAUAUUCCUUUAUGUCACUCAGGCUUCUUCCAUGAAUAGAGUCAUGUUAUGAUCCUUUUUUCCUUGAUGUGGCUGGACUAUCUAGGUGCCUAUUCACUCCACAUUUUUUAAGGUGGAAGGUUUCACUG